This is a non-coding RNA of Perkinsus marinus ATCC 50983, 73 nucleotides long. The record is from Rfam. Lineage: Eukaryota; Perkinsozoa; Perkinsida; Perkinsidae.
AGCAGCUUGGCGCAGUGGAUUGCAUGUUGGGCUCAUAACCCAGAGGUCCCUUGAUCGAAACAAGGAGCUGCUA